RNAcentral lists this ribosomal RNA (253 nucleotides) under uncultured bacterium. RNAcentral's name for it is "partial 16S ribosomal RNA". It matches the Rfam family "Bacterial small subunit ribosomal RNA", at positions 524 to 776 of the family's 1533-position model. The record is from RNAcentral.
UACGUAGGGCGCAAGCGUUGUCCGGAAUUAUUGGGCGUAAAGAGCUCGUAGGCGGUUUGUCGCGUCUGUCGUGAAAGCUUGGGGCUUAACCCCAAGUCUGCGGUGGAUACGGGCAGACUAGAGGCAGGUAGGGGAGAACGGAAUUCCCGGUGUAGCGGUGAAAUGCGCAGAUAUCAGGAGGAACACCGAUGGCGAAGGCAGGUCUCUGGGCAUUAACUGACGCUGAGGAGCGAAAGCAUGGGGAGCGAACAGG